UUGAACGCUGGCGGCGUGCUUAACACAUGCAAGUCGAACGAGAAAGGGACUUCGGUCCUGAGUAGAGUGGCGCACGGGUGAGUAAUGCAUCGGAACGUACCCAGUCGUGGGGGAUAACUACGCGAAAGCGUGGCUAAUACCGCAUACGCCCUGAGGGGGAAAGCGGGGGACCUUCGGGCCUCGCGCGAUUGGAGCGGCUGAUGUCGGAUUAGCUGGUUGGUGGGGUAAAGGCCUACCAAGGCGACGAUCCGUAGCUGGUCUGAGAGGAUGAUCAGCCACACUGGGACUGAGACACGGCCCAGACUCCUACGGGAGGCAGCAGUGGGGAAUUUUGGACAAUGGGCGCAAGCCUGAUCCAGCCAUGCCGCGUGAGUGAAGAAGGCCUUCGGGUUGUAAAGCUCUUUCAGACGGAAAGAAAUCGGGCGGGUGAAUAGCCUGCCUGGAUGACGGUACUGUCAGAAGAAGCACCGGCUAACUACGUG
Molecule: ribosomal RNA, 482 nt
Filed under: uncultured bacterium
Lineage: Bacteria
Description: bacterial SSU rRNA
Rfam family: Bacterial small subunit ribosomal RNA
Source: RNAcentral